Molecule: ribosomal RNA, 827 nt
Filed under: uncultured bacterium
Lineage: Bacteria
Description: bacterial SSU rRNA
Rfam family: Bacterial small subunit ribosomal RNA
Source: RNAcentral
UGCAAGUCGAGGGGCAGCGAGGGAGUGGCAGCACUUCCGUCGGCGACCGGCGCACGGGUGAGUAACGCGUAUGCAACCUGCCCUUCACAGGGGGAUAACCGGGAGAAAUUCCGACUAAUACCGCAUACGUCCUCCGGGGGCAUCCCCGGGGGAUGAAAGAAUUAUCGGUGAAGGAUGGGCAUGCGUGAUAUUAGGUAGUUGGCGGGGCAACGGCCCACCAGGCCCACGAUAUCUAGGGGUUCUGAGAGGAAGGUCCCCCACAUUGGUACUGAGACACGGACCAAACUCCUACGGGAGGCAGCAGUGAGGAAUAUUGGUCAAUGGACGAGAGUCUGAACCAGCCAAGUCGCGUGAAGGAAGACGGAUCUAUGGUUUGUAAACUUCUUUAGUGCGGGAACAAAGCGGCGUCGUGACGCCUGAUGAGUGUACCGCAAGAAUAAGCAUCGGCUAACUCCGUGCCAGCAGCCGCGGUAAUACGGAGGAUGCGAGCGCUAUCCGGAUUUAUUGGGUUUAAAGGGAGCGCAGGCUGCGAGGCAAGUCAGCGGUCAAAUGUCGGGGCUCAACCCCGGCCUGCCGUUGAAACUGUCCUGCUAGAGUUCGAGUGAGGUAUGCGGAAUGCGUUGUGUAGCGGUGAAAUGCAUAGAUAUGACGCAGAACUCCGAUUGCGUAGGCAGCAUACCAACUCGCGACUGACGCUGAGGCUCGAAAGCGUGGGUAUCGAACAGGAUUAGAUACCCUGGUAGUCCACGCAGUAAACGAUGAAUACUAACUGUUCGGAGGGCGACCUCUGAGUGGUAAAGCGAAAGCGUUAAGUAUUCCACCUGGGG